This 473-nucleotide ribosomal RNA is filed under the name uncultured bacterium. RNAcentral's name for it is "bacterial SSU rRNA". It matches the Rfam family "Bacterial small subunit ribosomal RNA", at positions 8 to 526 of the family's 1533-position model. The record is from RNAcentral.
AGGGUUCGAUUAUGGCUCAGAACGUACGCUGGCGGCACGCCUAACACAUGCAAGUCGAACGAAGUAGCAAUACUUAGUGGCAGACGGGUGAGUAACAUGUAGGUAUCUGCCCUUUGGCCUGGAAUAACACGAGGAAACUUGUGCUAAUACCGGAUAAGUCUUUACGGAGAAAGCUUUAUGCACCAUUGGAUGAGCCUGCACUUGAUUAGUUUGUUGGUAGGGUAAUGGCCUACCAAGACUGUGAUCAAUAGCUGAUUUGAGAGGAUGAUCAGCUACAUUGGGACUGAGACACGGCCCAAACUCCUACGGGAGGCAGCAGUGGGGAAUCUUGCACAAUGGAGGAAACUCUGAUGCAGCGAUGCCGCGUGAGUGAAGAAGGCCCUUGGGUUGUAAAGCUCUUUCGUCGGGGAAGAAAAUGACUGUACCCGAAUAAGAGGGUCCGGCUAACUUCGUGCCAGCCGCCGCGGUAAUAC